GUCCAGUUAGCCUAGUGGUUAAGGCUAUAGAUCGCAAAUCCGGAGACGGCGGGUUCGAUUCCCGUUCCAGUCG
This is a non-coding RNA of Aedes albopictus (Asian tiger mosquito), 73 nucleotides long. The record is from Rfam. Lineage: Eukaryota; Metazoa; Arthropoda; Insecta; Diptera; Culicidae.